Molecule: ribosomal RNA, 262 nt
Filed under: uncultured bacterium
Lineage: Bacteria
Description: partial 16S ribosomal RNA
Rfam family: Bacterial small subunit ribosomal RNA
Source: RNAcentral
UUAGUGGCGGACGGGUGAGUAACGCGUGGGUAACCUGCCUUACACAGGGGGAUAACACUUAGAAAUAGGUGCUAAAACCGCAUAAGCGCACAGCUUUGCAUGAAGCAGUGUGAAAAACUCCGGUGGUGUAAGAUGGACCCGCGUCUGAUUAGCUUGUCGGCGGGGUAACGGCCCACCAAGGCGACGAUCAGUAGCCGGCCUGAGAGGGCGGACGGCCACAUUGGGACUGAGACACGGCCCAGACUCCUACGGAAGGCAGCAG